RNAcentral lists this long non-coding RNA (1752 nucleotides) under Neodiprion lecontei (redheaded pine sawfly). RNAcentral's name for it is "uncharacterized LOC124294647". Lineage: Eukaryota; Metazoa; Arthropoda; Insecta; Hymenoptera; Diprionidae. The record is from RNAcentral.
GCUAUAUAGGUAUAAUGCGUAACAGUGAUGUAUGCUCCACACCGUUCGAUGUUGGACAUAGCACUGGUGAAUAAAACUUAGCAAGUUGUUGAUUUGAGGAGGAGGAGGAGGAGGAGGAAGAGGAGGAGAAGGAGGAGGAGGGUGAGAAGUUGGCACGGGGUUCUUGUUGCGUAUGUAUAUACUUUGGAUCGAGUACGGAGCAGCCGAAGUUUGCGAAUGAGAAUUAAGGUACUACAAGAGCUUGAGGUGUGGGUGGAUGGUGGACAUAACGCGUCGCGACGAACGACUUGACUCAAUCAUCGCUACCGUCUUCAUCAGUGAGCUCGAUAUUGUCUAUUAUAAAAUUCAUUGUUUACCUUUGAGUAUAACGUACGCUGGACAAGUUUACAGUGAUUAUGGGAUCAAUUAGCGGAGUGGUUACCCAAAAUAUUAAGAGAUCUACCGACCGACUACACAAGAUCAAACACUUCAUGACACUUUGUUUGUGAAACGGAACGAGACGUUACAGCGAUAAAACUUGUUUUACUACUCCAGUACCUGGCUGAAAGAGUUCACGGCCACCUUCAAAACGUGACAGAGGGUCGGAAAAAAGAAAUACCGGCAAGAAUGAUACUCAUUUGUAGAAUCACUGAUUCAUUAGAGACAACGGUGACAAUUAAUUUGGCAACGUGCUGCAAUAACUGAUCUAAAAUGAUCGUUGCAGGUCAUGUGAUUCGAGUGCCGUAUGAAUUUGACAUAGUGCAUAACGUAAUACCUACAACUGUACGAAUACGCAUACACGAGUGUAGCGGCGUGUGUUUAAGACGAUUUCUCUAUUAAACAGUUGACUGGUGAUUGUGUGUAAUAAUGGCUCUGGGGAAGAUAGUGAUCUGUCACGCAUUCAUCAUGACAUAUCGUUGUCGCACAUGCGUCACUUGCGCUCGCAAAUCUCCUAUAUGUACAUACCUAUAGAGCGCGAUUCAUAACACAAUGAGUCGUUACGUUACAUACGAAAAGAGAUAUGAAUUACAAUUUCAGGGAUUUGGCCUUUAGUUUCUACGCGUCAUAUACAUAAACUGAAAAUUGGCAGUUCGCUCCAUGUCGCGUUCUGCGUCUACUAUUGACGGAUUAAUACUGCACAAUUUGUUCAUUCGUGAGCAUUGUGGUAUACGCUUUGGUCGCUUUGGUGAAUACGGGAAGACCAUAUUUUGUCUGUUCACAGCAUAUAAAAUAACAUAAGCAGUGACUGCUUCUAACGAAAAUAAUUGGAUCUGGAUAGUAAGACUGUUCCCAGCUUUAUCGGUAGCGGUUCACGAGAUACUUGUUCGAAAAUCAAAUAUACGAAAUCCAGACGGUUGCAGCUCAGUCGGAAAGAUAGAAAUUUAGUCGCAGUCAGUCAUUUGGUUAUAUUUUUUUAUAAGGUGUAGUACACGUUGCGCGGAAUUCUCAAACUAAUUUGAUGAAAUUCGAAUUUCAGGUUAAAAAUUGUCAUCAAUCUUUCAAAAAUUGCCGAAUGUACCUACAGAAAAUUUUAUUCAGAACUGCAUGUACAGGUAUAUUUUAUCGACAAAUUUUGGUUUCUUGGAUAGGUUAAACAUUACUGAUAUAAAAAAUCGUCCGUACGCGAACUCACUAUACAUUCCUGUACGGUGUUCACGUGACGUAAGUCACCGAGAUGAGCAUUUGAGAAACCGUUGAAAAUCUAUUUGAAAUAUGUCGGUGCAUUGGCGGAACUUUGAUUUUCUUAUGAUCCGUCUAUGGACAAAUUAAUAA